This 410-nucleotide ribosomal RNA is filed under the name uncultured bacterium. RNAcentral describes it as "bacterial SSU rRNA". It matches the Rfam family "Bacterial small subunit ribosomal RNA", at positions 355 to 779 of the family's 1533-position model. The record is from RNAcentral.
UGGGGAAUAUUGCACAAUGGGCGAAAGCCUGAUGCAGCAACGCCGCGUGAAGGAUGAAGGGUUUCGGCUCGUAAACUUCUAUCAACAGGGACGAAAAAAAUGACGGUACCUGAAUAAGAAGCCCCGGCUAACUACGUGCCAGCAGCCGCGGUAAUACGUAGGGGGCAAGCGUUAUCCGGAAUUACUGGGUGUAAAGGGAGAGUAGGCGGCAUGAUAAGUUAGAUGUGAAAGCCUUGGGCUUAACCCGAGGAUUGCAUUUAAAACUAACAAGCUAGAGUAAAGGAGAGGGAAGUGGAAUUCCUUGUGUGGCGGUGAAAUGCGUAGAUAAUAGGAAGAACACCAGUGGGGAAGGAGACUUAAUGGACUGAAACUGACGCUGAGGCUCGAAAGAGUGGGGAGCGAACAGGAUU